GAUUGUUGUGACGUGGGUGGUUCGCCGCCUUCGAUACCGCAAGAAGUCCAUUGAACCUUAUCAUUUAGAGGAAGGAGAAGUCGUAACAAGGUUUCCGUAGGUGAACCUGCGGAAGGAUCAUUG
This 123-nucleotide ribosomal RNA is filed under the name Disa virginalis. Its description in RNAcentral is "partial 18S ribosomal RNA". It matches the Rfam family "Eukaryotic small subunit ribosomal RNA", at positions 1713 to 1831 of the family's 1831-position model. RNAcentral also lists the same sequence under 1 other name. The record is from RNAcentral. Lineage: Eukaryota; Viridiplantae; Streptophyta; Magnoliopsida; Asparagales; Orchidaceae.